AUCGAUGAAGAACGCAGCGAAAUGCGAUAAGUAAUGUGAAUUGCAGAAUUCAGUGAAUCAUCGAAUCUUUGAACGCACAUUGCGCCCCUUGGUAUUCCGGGGGGCAUGCCUGUUCGAGCGUCAUUAUAACCCCUCAAGCUCAGCUUGGUGUUGGGGCCUGCCAACUGGCAGCCCUUAAAAUCAGUGGCGGCGCCAUCUGGCUCUAAGCGUAGUAAUUUCUCUCGCUAUAGGGUCCCGGUGGACGCUGGCCAGCAACCCCCAAUUUUUUAAUGGUUGACCUCGGAUCAGGUAGGGAUACCCGCUGAACUUAAGCAUAUCAAUAAGCGGAGGAAAAGAAACCAACAGGGAUUACCUCAGUAACGGCGAGUGAAGCGGUAACAGCUCAAAUUUGAAAUCUGGCUCUUUCAGGGUCCGAGUUGUAAUUUGUAGAAGAUGCUUCGGGUGUGGCUCCGGUCUAAGUUCCUUGGAACAGGACGUCAUAGAGGGUGAGAAUCCCGUAUGUGACUGGUUGCCUUCGCCCAUGUGAAGCUCUUUCGACGAGUCGAGUUGUUUGGGAAUGCAGCUCAAAAUGGGUGGUAAAUUUCAUCUAAAGCUAAAUAUUGGCCAGAGACCGAUAGCGCACAAGUAGAGUGAUCGAAAGAUGAAAAGCACUUUGGAAAGAGAGUUAAACAGUACGUGAAAUUGUUGAAAGGGAAGCGCUUGCAACCAGACUUGCACGCAGUUGAUCAUCCGGUGUUCUCACCGGUGCACUCUGCUGCGUUCAGGCCAGCAUCGGUUUUGGUGGUUGGAUAAAGGCCUUGGGAAUGUGGCUCCUCUCGGGGAGUGUUAUAGCCCUCGGUGCAAUGCAGCCUACCGGGACCGAGGACCGCGCUUCGGCUAGGAUGCUGGCGUAAUGGUUGUAAGCGACCCGUCUUGAAACACGG
This 923-nucleotide ribosomal RNA is filed under the name uncultured Ascomycota. RNAcentral's name for it is "eukaryotic LSU rRNA". The stretch from base 275 to 923 matches the Rfam family "Eukaryotic large subunit ribosomal RNA", at positions 1 to 664 of the family's 3401-position model. Lineage: Eukaryota; Fungi; Ascomycota. The record is from RNAcentral.